CUUUGUGCAGAUUGAGCAAGACUUCAUCUUGCAGUUUGGAGAAGAUGUAGCUGCCAAGUCUUUGGAGAGGUGGCCUACAACAUUCAAGAAAAGGGUCAUCCAGCAGAGUAAGGCUCUGAGAUCUGAUCUAUUGUGCAGAAGCUACAUCAGAUGAAGAGGAAAUGGAUAAUGACAUUAUUGCCUCUGGAUGGGACAGUGAUCUGUCUUCAAUCAUUCUCCUCCUCCACCUGAUUCCUCCAACAGCCCAGGGGCAGAAGAGGCCAGGCAAGGUGUCUGCAUCCCAAGCUGAGAAGCACCUUGUCGUGUUCAAGAAGAGUGGGAC
This 322-nucleotide long non-coding RNA is filed under the name Sander lucioperca (pikeperch). Its description in RNAcentral is "lncRNA (ENSSLUG00000011480.1)". The record is from RNAcentral. Lineage: Eukaryota; Metazoa; Chordata; Actinopteri; Perciformes; Percidae.